Molecule: long non-coding RNA, 333 nt
Filed under: Setaria italica (foxtail millet)
Lineage: Eukaryota; Viridiplantae; Streptophyta; Magnoliopsida; Poales; Poaceae
Description: long non-coding RNA (SITA_LNC000539)
Source: RNAcentral
CCUGGAGGUGCAUCCACUACAAGAUAGUCAAUCUCCCCCCAGUCAACAUCCUUUAAGAACUGCUUGAUCAGUCCAUUCUUGCGGGGACCCCUCCAUAUGACGGCGUCAUCUGGGUUAGGCAGCAUGAAACCAAUUGACAUGACACCAAGGUUGGACUCAACAUAGACUGGUGACCACCCAAGGUUGCUUUGAUGUAUAUCCUGACCCUCCAGGCCCAACAUUUUUGGGAUGCUAGGGCCACAGAUAUCUAUGUCAAGAAGGCCAACCUGAUGCUCCAUUUCAGCUAGGGCAAAUGAGAGCUGGGCUGAGAAUGUGCUCUUUCCAACCCCUCCC